AGAACGAACGCUGGCGGCAUGCCUAACACAUGCAAGUCGAACGAGACCUUCGGGUCUAGUGGCGCACGGGUGCGUAACGCGUGGGAAUCUGCCCUUGGGUUCGGAAUAACAGUUGGAAACGACUGCUAAUACCGGAUGAUGACGUAAGUCCAAAGAUUUAUCGCCCAGGGAUGAGCCCGCGUAGGAUUAGCUAGUUGGUGAGGUAAAGGCUCACCAAGGCGACGAUCCUUAGCUGGUCUGAGAGGAUGAUCAGCCACACUGGGACUGAGACACGGCCCAGACUCCUACGGGAGGCAGCGAGGUAGGGAAUUAGUUAGGAACUAAG
RNAcentral lists this ribosomal RNA (325 nucleotides) under uncultured soil bacterium. Its description in RNAcentral is "bacterial SSU rRNA". It matches the Rfam family "Bacterial small subunit ribosomal RNA", at positions 26 to 376 of the family's 1533-position model. The record is from RNAcentral.